Molecule: long non-coding RNA, 426 nt
Organism: Mirounga angustirostris (Northern elephant seal)
Lineage: Eukaryota; Metazoa; Chordata; Mammalia; Carnivora; Phocidae
Exons: 3
Source: RefSeq, a predicted model, not a curated record
AGGAGAAUACAGUGCCUCACAAGCAAUGGAGCCUUCUACUAGAGGGCGUUUGGGCAACAGCGACUUUUACAGAGCACUAGACGCUAGACGCGGCAAAUCAAAACAGGCCUGGAGUUGCAUAUCUGACCUUACUUAUAAAGGUCAAGGAGCAAGGAACAAAGUUUGGAGUAAUCUUUCAUCCAUUGGUACAGUGAUUGCUGGCCAUUCCCGGCAAGUGGUGACCCUGGUGUGACCAUUUUGCAAUGGACAUCGUACAGACUGCCCGGAAACAAAAAGUCUGCGCACAAUUUUAUUUAUUUAUUCAUGAGAGACAGAGAGAAACAGAGGGAGAAGCAGGCUCCCAAGGAGCGGGAAGCCCGAUGCGGGACUCGAUCCCAGGACCCUGGGAUCAUGACCUGAGCCGAAGGCAGACGCUUAACCAUCUGA